RNAcentral lists this non-coding RNA (30 nucleotides) under Mus musculus (house mouse). The record is from RNAcentral. Lineage: Eukaryota; Metazoa; Chordata; Mammalia; Rodentia; Muridae.
UACUAUUAAGGUGUUAUGGGAGUCUCCCUC